GAACGCUGGCGGCAGGCCUAACACAUGCAAGUCGAGCGGAAACGAGUUAACUUGACCCUUCGGUUGACGUUAACGGCGUCGAGCGGCGGACGGGUGAGUAAUGCCUGGGAAAUUGCCCUGAUGUGGGGGAUAACCAUUGGAAACGAUGGCUAAUACCGCAUAAUGCCUUCGGGCCAAAGAGGGGGACCUUCGGGCCUCUCGCGUCAGGAUAUGCCCAGGUGGGAUUAGCUAGUUGGUGAGGUAAUGGCUCACCAAGGCGACGAUCCCUAGCUGGUCUGAGAGGAUGAUCAGCCACACUGGAACUGAGACACGGUCCAGACUCCUACGGGAGGCAGCAGUGGGGAAUAUUGCACAAUGGGCGCAAGCCUGAUGCAGCCAUGCCGCGUGUGUGAAGAAGGCCUUCGGGUUGUAAAGCACUUUCAGCAGUGAGGAAGGCGGGUACGUUAAUAGCGUGCUCGUUUGACGUUAGCUGCAGAAGAAGCACCGGCUAACUCCGUGCCAGCAGCCGCGGUAAUACGGAGGGU
Molecule: ribosomal RNA, 524 nt
Filed under: Vibrio mediterranei
Lineage: Bacteria; Pseudomonadati; Pseudomonadota; Gammaproteobacteria; Vibrionales; Vibrionaceae
Description: bacterial SSU rRNA
Rfam family: Bacterial small subunit ribosomal RNA
Source: RNAcentral